This 72-nucleotide transfer RNA is filed under the name Camelus bactrianus (Bactrian camel). It matches the Rfam family "tRNA". Rfam says of the family: Transfer RNA (tRNA) molecules are approximately 80 nucleotides in length. Their secondary structure includes four short double-helical elements and three loops (D, anti-codon, and T loops). Lineage: Eukaryota; Metazoa; Chordata; Mammalia; Artiodactyla; Camelidae. RNAcentral also lists the same sequence under 2 other names. The record is from Rfam by way of RNAcentral.
GGGGGUAUAGCUCAGUGGCAGAGUGUAUGCUUGGCAAGCACAGGGUCCUGGGUUCAAUCCCCAGCCCCUCCA